Molecule: long non-coding RNA, 1387 nt
Organism: Lolium rigidum
Lineage: Eukaryota; Viridiplantae; Streptophyta; Magnoliopsida; Poales; Poaceae
Exons: 3
Source: RefSeq, a predicted model, not a curated record
GUAUGCUACUCCAAUUACACUUACUGAAAUAGUUUGAGUAUAUGAAGAUUACCUAUGAACAUUUUUGUUAAUCUAGCUCUUUCUGAAACUGCAAUUGGUUUGCAGGUCUCUCUCUUUGGAUCUAUACUUUGAGUCCCAGAUUUGCAUGAACAACUGUAGUCCCCAUUCGUAUUACUGCAGGUUCCAUAGCAAGGAUACUGAUCUGGUAAACUACACUCAUCGAUAUCUGCAAACAACAUGCAGCAAUAGAGAAACAACUGAAUACCAACACACAGGUAUGGGUUGCCUGCAAAACCAUCGUUGCAGGUGCAGAGAUAUCCUGUAGCAUUUGGUGACAUGACGCAAUGGCCAUUCUUGCUGAUGCAGGCAUACGAUGAAAUGUUCUUCACUGCCUCGUCGCAUUGUUCAUGUCCAGCAACCCAGUCAAGCACAGUAGGGACCCCGUCGCUGAACUUCUCUGUGAAUCUGCUGCCCUCGAGAUAGGAAGCCUCGAACCUGAACCAAUCCUGCUCAGCGACAAAGGCGUAGCUGCAUGGAUUGAAGCCACGCACCCCAGAGUUGUCGAACCUAUCAUCGAAUGUUACGUUGGAGGAGCUGAGGUUCGGUGCAAUGGAUGUCUGGCAACAGCCCAUCCCGGAGCAGUGCCCACUCUGAUCCACGCUUUGCGUGUCCGCGCACAUGGAGAAACACCCAGCUCCGACAUUGUGCUCGUUAAAGCCUCCCAGAAAUGCAAGGGUGUUGCAUCCAACUGCUGUUAAUUUGUUUGCCUUGGUGGAGAUUGUAAAGAAAUCAGCAGUACCUGAUGAGGCCCAUCCAUCCGUAUUGUUGCUAUUGCUGUAGAAGCACUUGGAGGCGAUCAGGGUGCUGACUCGGGCCUGUCCUCCUACCAGGCUGAUGUUGUAGAUCUCCAUUUGGCUGCUUGAAUUCCCCAUGAAAACACGAUUGUACUCACAUGAAACAUCAAACCCUUGACUGUAGAAGCAACCUUGACCGAUGCCGAAUGGGUAUGGGAUGGUGAGGUUGCCGCAUGUUUCUCUGCAUCCAGGUUUCCCCAUCCCGGACGCUCUGCUGCUCUUGAUGCUUGCUAGCAGCAGGGUAGCUGCAAAGAUUUGCCAUGGUGAACAAGCCGGGAAAUGUACUUGGUGACACAGGGCCAAGACAGUGAGUGGUACAUGAAAGGAACGAAGGUGAACUGAUUUUCCAUCAGUGUUAGUAUAGAGUGGCCACUGAGAUUAAGGGAUAGGAUUAUUCCAUAGAUCCCUGGACUAAAUUCUGCCAUCUCGAUCGACUUGGAUGCAAGCAUACAUUAUCACCACAGGCUGGUCCUUAUACGAGGUUGCCGCAUGUUUCUCUGCAUACAGUCUUCGCCAUCCUGGCUGCGCUACCU